CCCCCCUCCCCGGGCAGCCAGUGCCAGAUGAGAGCAGGAGACAAAAGUAGCAUUUUCCUCGUACUCCGGGGCUGGCAGCGGGGCCUUCCCCCAGCACCACAUGGCUCCUGGCAGCCCUGCCCCCUGUGCCGGGGUGGCCGAGGCCCGGCCGGGCCCACUGGACCGAGGGACAGCGGCGGCCAGAGACUAGGGGGCCCGUGGGCCCAUAGCUGGGGCUGGCACCGGGCAGCCUGCUGGCCGGCGGGACCUGCCCUCCUCCCCCACCCGGGUGACCGGCUGGGCCCAGGGACGUCAUUUUCACUUCCUGGCUUUGGAGAAGGCGCCUCCAUCCUCCGGCACCUCGGAACGUGGCCCUGUCCCAGAGCACCACCCGAGACAUCAGGAGCCCAUCGUGGGCUAGGGAAGACCCUCCGGGACCUAACGGCCCAGGUCUUCCACCCUUGGCCACCUCCCCAGGUGAUGCCUGAAGCUCAAGGGACUGUGUCCACCCUCAG
This 494-nucleotide long non-coding RNA is filed under the name Pan troglodytes (chimpanzee). RNAcentral describes it as "lincRNA". Lineage: Eukaryota; Metazoa; Chordata; Mammalia; Primates; Hominidae. The record is from RNAcentral.